AGUUUGAUCAUGGCUCAGAACGAACGCUGGCGGCAUGCCUAACACAUGCAAGUCGAACGAAGCCUUCGGGCUUAGUGGCGCACGGGUGCGUAACACGUGGGAAUCUGCCCUUCGGUUCGGAAUAACAGUUAGAAAUGACUGCUAAUACCGGAUGAUGACGUAAGUCCAAAGAUUUAUCGCCGAAGGAUGAGCCCGCGUAGGAUUAGGUAGUUGGUAGGGUAAUGGCCUACCAAGCCGACGAUCCUUAGCUGGUCUGAGAGGAUGAUCAGCCACACUGGGACUGAGACACGGCCCAGACUCCUACGGGAGGCAGCAGUGGGGAAUAUUGGACAAUGGGCGAAAGCCUGAUCCAGCAAUGCCGCGUGAGUGAUGAAGGCCUUAGGGUUAUAAAGCUCUUUUACCAGGGACGAUAAUGACAGUACCUGGAGAAUAAGCUCCGGCUAACUCCGUG
Molecule: ribosomal RNA, 451 nt
Filed under: uncultured bacterium
Lineage: Bacteria
Description: bacterial SSU rRNA
Rfam family: Bacterial small subunit ribosomal RNA
Source: RNAcentral